Bos taurus (domestic cattle) is the source of this 669-nucleotide long non-coding RNA. The record is from Ensembl. Lineage: Eukaryota; Metazoa; Chordata; Mammalia; Artiodactyla; Bovidae.
ACUAUGCAAAGGGGCUACUCCUCACACACACAUGUGUAUGCACACAGAAAGAGGGAGAAAGAGACACUGCUCUUAGAUCAGAGAGAUCCAUCUCUCUGAUCUGGUCAGGAACUCUUCUUUAUUCUAUCGCCCAAACCCGUAUGUUCAAAUCCAUUAUUACUGCACCUCUGUCCUGGAAGUUUCAUUGACGAUCAUAGAAUUUUAGAACUGGAAAAGACUUCAGGAAUCCUCUGGUAAAAACUUCUCAUUUUAUAGAUGAGGAAAUGGAGGCCCAAAGAAAUAGAAUAACUUGGCCCACGGCAAUCAAAGGAGAGUUACCACAUCUAGUCUGAAAAACAGAGAGGAGAAUCAGAGGAAGAAUACGGCCUGGGUUCCCAACAGUUUCCUACUCCUGGUUCCAACCCAUCCUGCAAGCCACUUAAAUUUCUGCCCUUUGUUCUGUAACAACCCUCUUAAAAGAAAUUCUCCCUUUUGCUGAUAAGGUAGCAAAAUAUGACUCGACUGGAUUCAAAUCCUGUGUGUCCUGGGCAGUUUCUAAACUUCUCUGUGUUGGUGUUCUUUUCUGCUAAAAUGAGAAAUACUAGUAUAGAGUUGUCAUGAGUGUUAAAUUUGACAAGGCAUUUAAAGUAUUCAGCACAGUGCCUGGCAUUCAUUCAAAAAAAAAAAAAC